Molecule: ribosomal RNA, 433 nt
Filed under: uncultured bacterium
Lineage: Bacteria
Description: partial 16S ribosomal RNA
Rfam family: Bacterial small subunit ribosomal RNA
Source: RNAcentral
AACGAACGCUGGCGGCAUGCCUAACACAUGCAAGUCGAACGAAGCCUUCGGGCUUAGUGGCGCACGGGUGCGUAACGCGUGGGAAUCUGCCCCUUGCUUCGGAAUAACAGUUAGAAAUGACUGCUAAUACCGGAUGAAGUCUUCGGACCAAAGAUUUAUCGGCAAGGGAUGAGCCCGCGUAGGAUUAGGUAGUUGGUGGGGUAAAGGCCUACCAAGCCGACGAUCCUUAGCUGGUCUGAGAGGAUGAUCAGCCACACUGGGACUGAGACACGGCCCAGACUCCUACGGGAGGCAGCAGUGGGGAAUAUUGGACGAUGGACGCAAGUCUGAUCCAGCAAUGCCGCGUGAGUGAUGAAGGCCUUAGGGUUGUAAAGCUCUUUUACCAGGGAUGAUAAUGACAGUACCUGGAGAAUAAGCUCCGGCUAACUCCGUG